UCGAAGCCCUAAAGACGCUCUCGAAGCCAUCGAUGCCUCGAAAUUCAAACGGGGGUUCGUUGGAUGGGGGAAUCACGGCGGAGCCGAUCGAAGCGGGAAGAGGAAACGAAAGGGGAAGCGUUUAGUGAAGGCAAUGGAUCGUUAUAUAGAGCUCGCCCACAUCUCUCUAUCCUCCUUUACAUUUUUUUCUUAUAUAGCGUAUAUAUUUAAUUUGUAGCGGUUUAAACCGUAUUGCAGAAGAGGAUGUGCUCACCGUCGAGUGAGAGAGAUAUCACACUCAGGAAGUUAGAAGCCGCGUGGUUUUUUCAAGGUAACCUCACCGGAGGUUCGGUGGGUAGCGGAAGGGGGAAACAGACGACGCCACACGAAGUCGCGUACCCAAUGCCUUUGCCGUAGGGCCCCAGCGAGUACUCUACUGUGGUCGUCACGUAUACGUACAUUCUUACGCGGAGUAGUACGGGAGAGGGAAUCGGGUACGGUAUACAGAGAUGUUGCAGGGACUCAUCUCCAUUAAAGAAUGGAAAGGGGAAGAUACGAAGAGAAGAAUAGCCGACAGCUUUUCUUCCAUCGAGGCCUCGACACGUUGUCCCCCGUGCACAGAUAUUAGCAAUGUGACGCAAGAAGCUUCUGCGGACAAGUCGUCAGCCAUUUCAAGUGCCUUUUCGAGUGCAUUUCUCCUUUGUUAUUUACGAGUAGAAAAAUAUUCUAUGAAUAAUUGAUGAAUAAAUAUAUUUUUUAAAAGAUAAAUGAUGACUUAACGAA
RNAcentral lists this long non-coding RNA (762 nucleotides) under Musa acuminata (dwarf banana). RNAcentral's name for it is "long non-coding RNA (MACU_LNC000322)". The record is from RNAcentral. Lineage: Eukaryota; Viridiplantae; Streptophyta; Magnoliopsida; Zingiberales; Musaceae.